RNAcentral lists this long non-coding RNA (997 nucleotides) under Cyanistes caeruleus (blue tit). RNAcentral's name for it is "lncRNA (ENSCCEG00000012047.1)". Lineage: Eukaryota; Metazoa; Chordata; Aves; Passeriformes; Paridae. The record is from RNAcentral.
CAGGGAUGAAGGGACAGAAAUGGAGAGGCAAGCAGAUAUAGAAGUUGGCAGUGAAGCCAGCCUAUAAAAACGGACUGCUCUGCUUUUCUUCCUUGCAGGGCCCAAGCCAGCAGAUGUGCUUUGAGGAUUCCCAUCAGAUCAGGCUUCACAGGAGAGCCAGAGCAGUAACAAGUUCAUAGUUCCCAGCAGGGUUUGAGAUCAAGCUGGAAGCUGUGCUGCUCUGGCUUGUCAGCCUGUGGAUGCCCAGAAGCAAAUCCUUUCCCUUUCUCUCCAGAGCUUUGCUCUUCAAGUGCCACAGGAAGAGGAACAUGGGGCUCAAGGAAUGAAAUUUUAGUAUUUGAUUCUUGGCUCAGCAGUUAGCCUAAUUAUUAUUAUAAAUGUGGCAGGGGAGGCCAUGAGAUAGCUGGGGAAACUCAAGAAAAGUCCAGUCCUGGUGCCGUGAUGUGCUGACAUACAGGAUGACAAGAAACAACAAGGGCUGUGAGACACACAGGAUUGAGUCUCUCUCAAGGCCAAUCUGCUUACACUGGGCAGAUUAAACACCAACUGGAAGACAAAAUCAAGGCCUCAUGCAGUGAAUAACACAAGUGGAGAGCUGAGGUGCAGCUGUAAGGAGGUGUUCCAGCACCACCAAGAAAUACCUUGCUAUCACACAACAUGCACUAUAUCCAUAGCUGGGGUCACAUGCAGAGGAUUAACAAAGCAAGCAGGAGCCAGGUGACAAUGGUUUUCCACUCUGGGAGUGUCUGAUCCUUCUUGAGGAAGAGACUGUCUGAAUCCACUGGAUUCCUGAGCAGCUCAGCCUGUGACAGACACAAAGUGCAAUCACAGCCCUUGAAACCUGAUGAGCCCCUCAAGUACAGUGAAACAAUUCCAGACAUACACAUGUGACAUGGGAAGAAUCAGGUGCCAAAAAUUUCUCUUUUGCCAUAAAGGGUAAAAAAUACUCAUUCUAAAAGGUAAAAUAAAAUGAAGUUUAUAUAUAAGUGUUUAUACA